RNAcentral lists this long non-coding RNA (218 nucleotides) under Elaeis guineensis (African oil palm). RNAcentral's name for it is "long non-coding RNA (EGUI_LNC030501)". Lineage: Eukaryota; Viridiplantae; Streptophyta; Magnoliopsida; Arecales; Arecaceae. The record is from RNAcentral.
UCUGAUUGUAUCACAGACCCUAGGAGAAACUUGAGAUGAAAAUAUGAUAAUCUGAGAUUGCUCCGAAAUUCAUGCAGUAGAUCGGAUCCCGAUCCGAUCCUUCUUCGAAAUUGAUAACAUCGAUCAUGGUUAAUCCAUAUUAAGUCACCCUGAUGUAACCUCUGAUGAUCUCAAUCAUGAUUGCCACUUUUGAAGGAUACGAAGAUUCUCUCUCCACU